Molecule: ribosomal RNA, 569 nt
Filed under: uncultured Gammaproteobacteria bacterium
Lineage: Bacteria; Pseudomonadati; Pseudomonadota; Gammaproteobacteria
Description: bacterial SSU rRNA
Rfam family: Bacterial small subunit ribosomal RNA
Source: RNAcentral
UCGAUUUGGAGUUUGUUGCCUAGAGUGAUGGGCUCCGAAGCUAACGCGAUAAAUCGACCGCCUGGGGAGUACGGCCGCAAGGUUAAAACUCAAAUGAAUUGACGGGGGCCCGCGCAAGCGGUGGAGCAUGUGGUUUAACUCGAUGCAACGCGAAGAACCUUACCUGGUCUUGACAUCCACAGAAUCUUUCAGAGAUGAGGGAGUGCCUUCGGGAACUGUGAGACAGGUGCUGCAUGGCUGUCGUCAGCUCGUGUUGUGAAAUGUUGGGUUAAGUCCCGCAACGAGCGCAACCCUUAUCCUUUGUUGCCAGCGAUUAGGUCGGGAACUCAAAGGAGACUGCCGUUGAUAAAACGGAGGAAGGUGGGGACGACGUCAAGUCAUCAUGGCCCUUACGACCAGGGCUACACACGUGCUACAAUGGCGUAUACAAAGGGAAGCGAAGGUGCGAGCUGGAGCGGACCUCCUAAAGUACGUCUAAGUCCGGAUUGGAGUCUGCAACUCGACUCCAUGAAGUCGGAAUCGCUAGUAAUCGUGAAUCAGAAUGUCACGGUGAAUACGUUCCCGGGCCU